UACCAGCACCCCGAGUGGUCGGGACGAUUAUUGGGCCUAAAGCAUCCGUAGCCGGUUCUUUAAGUCCUCCGUUAAAUCCAUCUGCUUAACAGAUGGGCUGCGGAGGAUACUAUAGAGCUAGGAGGCGGGAGAGGCAAGCGGUACUCAGUGGGUAGGGGUAAAAUCCGUUGAUCCAUUGAAGACCACCAGUGGCGAAGGCGGCUUGCCAGAACGCGCUCGACGGUGAGGGAUGAAAGCUGGGGGAGCAAACCGGAUUAGAUACCCGGGUAGUCCCAGCUGUAAACGAUGCAGACUCGGUGAUGAAUAGGCUUAGUGCCUAUUCAGUGCCGCAGGGAAGCCGUUAAGUCUGCCGCCUGGGGAGUACGGUCGCAAGACUGAAACUUAAAGGAAUUGGCGGGGAGCACAGCAACGGGAGGAGCGUGCGGUUU
This 428-nucleotide ribosomal RNA is filed under the name uncultured archaeon. RNAcentral's name for it is "bacterial SSU rRNA". It matches the Rfam family "Archaeal small subunit ribosomal RNA", at positions 474 to 903 of the family's 1478-position model. The record is from RNAcentral.